Molecule: ribosomal RNA, 261 nt
Filed under: uncultured archaeon
Lineage: Archaea
Description: partial 16S ribosomal RNA
Rfam family: Archaeal small subunit ribosomal RNA
Source: RNAcentral
CAGCCGUAAACGAUGCGCGUUAGGUGUAUCGACGACCACGAGUCGUCGAGGUGCCGAAGGGAAACCGUGAGACGUGCCGCCUGGGAAGUACGGUCGCAAGGCUGAAACUUAAAGGAAUUGGCGGGGGAGCACCACAACAGGUGGAGCCUGCGGUUUAAUUGGACUCAACGCCGGAAAUCUCACCGGAUAAGACAGCUGAAUGAUUGUCAAUCUGAAGGUUUUACAUGACUAGCUGAGAGGAGGUGCAUGGCGUCAGUGACU